GGAAUAUACCGGUUCUCGUUAGAUCACCGAAGUUAAGCAUCAUUGGGCGCGGUCAGUACUUGGGUGGGUGACCACCAGGAAACACCGCGUGCCGUCG
This 97-nucleotide ribosomal RNA is filed under the name Caerostris extrusa. The record is from RNAcentral. Lineage: Eukaryota; Metazoa; Arthropoda; Arachnida; Araneae; Araneidae.